ACCACUGGUGCGAUCCUGCC
This 20-nucleotide microRNA is filed under the name Schmidtea mediterranea. RNAcentral describes it as "sme-miR-2206-3p". Lineage: Eukaryota; Metazoa; Platyhelminthes; Tricladida; Dugesiidae. The record is from miRBase by way of RNAcentral.